RNAcentral lists this unclassified non-coding RNA (360 nucleotides) under soil metagenome. Its description in RNAcentral is "partial contains 5.8S ribosomal RNA, internal transcribed spacer 2, and large subunit ribosomal RNA". The stretch from base 1 to 120 matches the Rfam family "5.8S ribosomal RNA", at positions 35 to 154 of the family's 154-position model. The record is from RNAcentral.
GAUGAAGAACGUAGCGAAAUGCGAUAAGUAAUGUGAAUUGCAGAAUUCAGUGAAUCAUCGAAUCUUUGAACGCACAUUGCGCCCGCCAGUAUUCUGGCGGGCAUGCCUGUCCGUGCGUCAUUUCAACCCUCGGGCCCCCCUCUGCGGGCGGCCCGGCGUUGGGGCUCAGGCGCCGUCUCUGCUCGGCGCCUGUCCCCUAAAUGCAGUGGCGGCCUCGCCGCUGCCUCCUCCGCGUAGUAGCACAAACCUCGCGGCUGGAAGGCGGCGCGGCCACGCCGUAAAACCCCCCAACUUUACCAAGGUUGACCUCGGAUCAGGUAGGAAUACCCGCUGAACUUAAGCAUAUCAAUAAGCGGAGGA